CGAAAGCCUGACGGAGCAAGACCGCGUGAGGGAGGAAGGCUCUUGGGUUGUAAACCUCUUUUCUCAGGGAAGAAGCUCUGACGGUACCUGAGGAAUCAGCCUCGGCUAACUCCGUGCCAGCAGCCGCGGUAAUACGGAGGAGGCAAGCGUUAUCCGGAAUUACUGGGCGUAAAGCGUCCGUAGGGGGCUCGUCAAGUCUGCUGUCAAAGCUCGGAGCUCAACUCCGACCCGGCAGUGGAAACUGGGGAGCUAGAGGGCGGCAGGGGCAGAAGGAAUUCCCGGUGUAGCGGUGAAAUGCGUAGAUAUCGGGAAGAACACCGGUGGCGAAAGCGCUUUGCUGGACGGCAACUGACACUCAGGGACGAAAGCUAGGGGAGCG
This 379-nucleotide ribosomal RNA is filed under the name uncultured cyanobacterium. Its description in RNAcentral is "bacterial SSU rRNA". It matches the Rfam family "Bacterial small subunit ribosomal RNA", at positions 376 to 770 of the family's 1533-position model. The record is from RNAcentral. Lineage: Bacteria; Bacillati; Cyanobacteriota.